RNAcentral lists this ribosomal RNA (346 nucleotides) under uncultured eukaryote. RNAcentral's name for it is "SSU rRNA". It matches the Rfam family "Eukaryotic small subunit ribosomal RNA", at positions 594 to 945 of the family's 1831-position model. The record is from RNAcentral.
AUAGCGUAUAUUAAAGUUGCUGCGGUUAAAAAGCUCGUAGUUGGAUCUGGGUCGUCGAUGGACGGUGCGCCGUAAGGCGCUACUGUUUGUUCGGCACCACAGCCCGGCCAUGUCUUGCAUGCUCUUCACUGAGUGUGCUUGGCGACCGGAACGUUUACUUUGAAAAAAUUAGAGUGCUCAAAGCAGGCGUUAAGCCUAUAUAAUGGUGCAUGGAAUGAUAGAAUAAGACUUUUGCCUUGUUCUGUUGGCCUUAGAGGCAGAAGUAAUGAUAAAUAGGGACAGACGGGGGCAUUCGUAUUGCGGCGUUAGAGGUGAAAUUCUUGGAUCGUCGCAAGACGCACUACUG